This 65-nucleotide transfer RNA is filed under the name Dipodomys ordii (Ord's kangaroo rat). It matches the Rfam family "tRNA". Rfam says of the family: Transfer RNA (tRNA) molecules are approximately 80 nucleotides in length. Their secondary structure includes four short double-helical elements and three loops (D, anti-codon, and T loops). Further hydrogen bonds mediate the characteristic L-shaped molecular structure. tRNAs have two regions of fundamental functional importance: the anti-codon, which is responsible for specific mRNA codon recognition, and the 3' end, to which the tRNAs corresponding amino acid is attached (by aminoacyl-tRNA synthetases). tRNAs cope with the degeneracy of the genetic code in two manners: having more than one tRNA (with a specific anti-codon) for a particular amino acid; and 'wobble' base-pairing, i.e. permitting non-standard base-pairing at the 3rd anti-codon position. The record is from Rfam by way of RNAcentral. Lineage: Eukaryota; Metazoa; Chordata; Mammalia; Rodentia; Heteromyidae.
GGUGGCUUAAUGGUAGAGCACUUGCCUUGCAUGCAUGAGGCCCUGGGUUCAAUUCCUCAGCACCA